This 459-nucleotide ribosomal RNA is filed under the name uncultured bacterium. RNAcentral's name for it is "partial 16S ribosomal RNA". It matches the Rfam family "Bacterial small subunit ribosomal RNA", at positions 338 to 795 of the family's 1533-position model. The record is from RNAcentral.
CCUACGGGUGGCAGCAGUGAGGAAUAUUGGUCAAUGGGCGAGAGCCUGAACCAGCCAAGUCGCGUGAGGGAGUACUGCCCUAUGGGUUGUAAACCUCUUUUGUCGGGGAGCAAAAGCCGGACGUGUCCGGCUGUGAGAGUACCCGAAGAAAAAGCAUCGGCUAACUCCGUGCCAGCAGCCGCGGUAAUACGUAGGGGGCAAGCGUGAUCCGGGUUUACUGUGUGUAAAGGGAGCGUAGACGGCGCGGCAAGUCUGAAGUGAAAGGCAGGGGCUUAACCCCUGAACUGCUUUGGAAACUGCCAUGCUAGAGUGCUGGAGAGGUAAGUGGAAUUCCUGGUGUAGCGGUGAAAUGCGUAGAUAUUAGGAGGAACACCAGUGGCGAAGGCGGCUUACUGGACAGUAACUGACGUUGAGGCUCGAAAGCGUGGGGAGCAAACAGGAUUAGAUACCCUUGUAGUC